Long non-coding RNA from Balaenoptera ricei (Rice's whale), 3474 nucleotides. RefSeq lists it as uncharacterized. The transcript has 3 exons. The record is from RefSeq and is a predicted model, not a curated record. Lineage: Eukaryota; Metazoa; Chordata; Mammalia; Artiodactyla; Balaenopteridae.
GGCAACGCGCUGGAAAGCCUGCAAGUUCGCUCCGAGGGCCCUUCCCGGAGCAACUGGAUCGAGCCGGUCCCAAACUCCGGAUCCUCUCCAGGAAGGCUACUCCUCGCCUCGCGGUGCGGGUUCCCAGAGCCUGACCCGCCGCUCCCAGCGCUCCUGGCUGCUGGGAGCUCGUUUCCAGCUUAUUAUUACAAGUGCCCUGACAGCACCGAGAAGGGGAGAAAGUCAUCAUGUGCCCGGAGUCGAAGGCUCAGUUGGGCCACGGAAGCUGAGGGCCUCCUCUUACUCUUCCGAGAAGAGCAUCAGGCCUGGAUAGGCCCCUGUUGUGAACAGAUCUGAACUCAUUUGGCCCUUUGGCAAUUGUCGGUUCUUAUAUUUCCAGCCACUGGAGAUGAGAGGCACUGCGUGAGGAAACAGUCUGUGGCAAGUGUGACGGAUGAACACAGGGCACAAGCUUCAGAAGCAGACAUACCUGCCGUUGAAUCCAGGCUCUUCCCAGUGGGGAACACAGGGAAGAACCGAUGCAGUUACCACCUGUAUCCCCACAAAUGAUCUGUCCAGUGCCGCUGUGGGCUCUGGAGCCAGAGAGCCAGGCGGAGGAUGGGGAGUGGAGGGGUUCUGCAUUUGGAAAACAGGGAGCAGGAUUCUUAUCUGCCCUGAGGGGUGGAGAUAAAGGUCUGCCCCUGUGCAUGGCGUAUGAUAGGCACCUAGUAAGUGUUGUUAAAUGAGGAGGGAACGUGAAGGUAUAAAGGGGUAAAGGACUAGGAAGAUGUGCAAAGACUAGGGACCUGGAAACUAACUACUAAGAGGAUUAGGUGGAAGGAGGGCCUGAAGGAGAAGGAUUCCAGUGAGAAGGUAGGCAGUGAUUCCCCAUCAUGAAAUCCCGGGGACACUUAUUAAAAACAUGCAUUCAGGCUCAGGGCUCUGUAUUUCCCUGCUCCUUAGGACCCGUAGGGUGCCUGGUAUUGACUGGUUUGUCAUAUAUCAUAUUCCAACACUCCAGUGAUCUUCUCAGAGAGCAGCAACAGCCCCAGAGGGGAACACAGGGUAGAGCUGAUGUAAUGACAACAGAUAUCAAUGCAAAAUGAUCUGUGCAGUGCAGCUGUGGGCUCCCCAAGCAAGAGAGAGCCAGGCGGAUGGGGGCUGGGUAGGACAGGGGCGGAGAAGGGGGAAAGGAGAUGGCAGGGAGGGAGAAAGGGAAGCUGAGUUGGGAGCUGAUGGAGCUCAGGGAAUGAGAACCUGGUAAAUCCAGUCAUCUAACUGGGAUUCUAGAUCAUUUUAGCACUUGCAACAUCAUGGUUUGAAACCAGCUGUCUUGUUUCUCCAUUAGCUUUCAUCACAGAUGAAAACAAUGGCAGCUCACAUCGGGGGGCAGGACGGGCUGGGCAGAGACCAGCUCCAAGUAGGUGGCAGGUGCUAUAGCAGCCUGGGGAGCCCCUUGGCUUCCCCUCUAAGCAGCUGCUUCUCCUGACUGGAAGAGGCCUAUGAACCGGGGUGGGGCAGGGCUUGGAGUUCCCUCUGCUUCAGGGAUACCGCGCUCCCCUGCAGGGCGCCUUCCAGGGUGGCUGUAAUACUGGGCCAGCAAGCACCCCAGCAUUCACAGAGAAGGGAAGAUGUGAAAUACCUGAAUGAGUGAGAAGGCAUAGCCGCUGCAGCCCUUGCCCCACACCUGGGUGGUUUAGGAUGAAACCAGUAGGUCUCCUUUGAUCAAUCAGACCUUUGCUUCCUUGUGCUUCUGAUCGUUGUGCUCAGGCUCGGGGUUUUUACCAGAAGCGUCAGGGCUCAUAUCCUACUGGAAGCUCUUGUUGCCAAUGCCUUUUUGUGAAGGGGGUUUAGUCCAGAUGACAAACCUGUCUUCCAUCUCAGAGUCCUGGGUGUGACCCAGGACCCGCCAGGACGUCGGAGGCUAUUGCUCAGCGCCAUCUAGUGGUCGGCAUGGCUUAUUUUCCUAAAGGACCCUGAGCCCCAGCAUUCUUGCUCCCAGCCACACCUAGGGCUAGAUCUGCUCCCUUCUCCUCGGACCGCUGCAGGCUUUGGUCACUUUGAAAAGUGGUGAUUAACGAAGCUUUAAGCUCUGCCUAAAGUGGAGACUUUAAACUCUGUAUCCUUUGUCCUUGUUCAAUUUUACAUAGUUUCAGGGAAGGGGAUAGGAGAAUUUAGUGGUAUUAAAAGACUAAGGUGAAGUAGGGAUAGAUGGAAAGAACAUUCUCCUUUUUCCCAGCUGCCUGGCUCCAGCAUGCACAGACCAUCAACUUGGCACUUUUUCCAGGUCUCUCUCACCCAACUGUGCCAUAAGAGGAGGGCACAGGAAGAGUCUCUUCUGCACAAAGUCCAAGCUGAGCGUUGAGAAUCAUCUUUACUCCGCCACAGAUAAAGUGAUGGGACACGGAGGUGGAACCAGACUGCUCGACUCAGAGCACUGAGGGAAUCCACCUAUUGGGAGCUUUCCUCAUGUAAAAGUGAGCUUUGGAGUUCUCAGAGAGGUCCUAUGGACAGUGCACCUUUCCAAAAAGGAAUAUCCACAUUUCUAGGUUCUCAAUUUCCUGGUUCAGGUCCAGAAGAGGGAACACUAGUCCUUUUCUUCUUACAGAGUUGGGUCCACCCAAAGGAAUCAGGUAGAGCCUACAGACAGGUCUUGUACAUAAGAAGGGAGGUAAGCGAUGGAGCAGAACACACCGAUUCCUAGGAUGGGAAACCAACAGGCAUUGCUCUGGGAGUGAUACGUGACUGCUGCUCCUUCCAAACACUAUGCAUUGUCCCAUUGGCCACUGGAUAAACAUUCAGAUGGCAUCUGGAAUUGCCUGAACCUGCAAGCAGGAAUUUCCCUGCAGGGCACAGGGGGUUGUGCCUAGUGGACCUAGGAUCCCUGGAACAAAGACACUCUUGGGAAGAACAUGAUUCUUUUGGGAAGCAAAAUCUUAGUGUUGAAAUAAAUUCAUUGGUGGGGACUUCCCUGGUGGUGCAGUUGUAGAGACUCUGCGCUCCCAAUGCAGGGGGCCCGGGUUCGAUCCCUGGUCAGGGAAAUAGAUCCCACGUGCAUGCCGCAACUAAGAGUUCGCAUGCCCCAACUAAGGAGCCUGUCUGCCGCAACUAAGACCCGGUGCAACCAAAUUAAUUAAUUAAAUUUUAGAAAAAGAAAUAAAUAGAUUGGAAUAUUCAGAAUGAGAAAUUUCCCUAAAUAUACUUGCCACUCAAGCCAGUGGAAUAGUAAUGUACAUAUGUAGUAAGGUACAUAAGAUUGGAAACCAUUUAUGGAGGUAAAGAUCACUAAAAAUUUUCUAGGGCCUUUUCCUCCACGCCAAAUUCCUGUUCUCAUUGACAGAGUUUUAUGAUUCUUGUGUCCUUCCUUGAGCUACAUCAUUCAAUAUUUUUCUUGUUAGGAGGAUGCUUGAAAAGACUGUGUUGCCCCAAAUAUUUAUAGCAGCAAUAAUAACAAAGUAAAGAAAAAAAGAUAUAACCUAAAUGUCCAUCAGUUGG